AACGCACCUUGCGCUCUCUAGUUAUUCUGGAGAGCAUGCUUGUUUGAGUGUCGCGAACCUCUCAACCCCGUUAAAGGCUUAAUUGACUUUGAUUGCUUGGGCUUGGAUCAUGGUCACUUGUCGUUGUAUAACGACUUGACUGAAAUACAACAAGUUGAAUGAAUCCAUUUGCAGCUUGACCUGAUGUUGUAAACUACUCAUCGGGGAUGCAUAAGGAAGUCAAGGAACUUUAACAGAACCCCAUAUUAGUACUUAGUACAAUUUAUGACCUCAAAUCAAGUAGGACUACCCGCUGAACUUAA
This 302-nucleotide unclassified non-coding RNA is filed under the name uncultured Kondoa. Its description in RNAcentral is "sequence contains ITS2". The record is from RNAcentral. Lineage: Eukaryota; Fungi; Basidiomycota; Agaricostilbomycetes.